This 23-nucleotide microRNA is filed under the name Dasypus novemcinctus (nine-banded armadillo). RNAcentral describes it as "dno-miR-106a-5p". Its record names the gene dno-miR-106a-5p. Lineage: Eukaryota; Metazoa; Chordata; Mammalia; Cingulata; Dasypodidae. The record is from miRBase by way of RNAcentral.
AAAAGUGCUUGCAGUGCAGGUAG